This is a long non-coding RNA of Arvicola amphibius (Eurasian water vole), 668 nucleotides long. RefSeq lists it as uncharacterized. The transcript has 4 exons. Lineage: Eukaryota; Metazoa; Chordata; Mammalia; Rodentia; Cricetidae. The record is from RefSeq and is a predicted model, not a curated record.
UUUUCUUCUUUUCUGGGCAAAGUAUCAAAUAGCACAGGCUAGCUAUGUAGCUCAAGAUGACCCUUUUAAUCUUCCUGCCUCCAUUUCCCAAGUGAUGUGACUGUACAGGUAUGAGACACCCAUGCUUUACUAGGAGAUUUUUAAAAAAUAACUGGUUGCAGUUCUGGGGACAGAACUCUGGGCCUCAUGGUGAGGAAGGAGUCUACCAGCUCUGGGCCUCAUGGGACCACUUCCCAAAGACAGCAAGUGCAGCAAAGUGGAGCCCGAGCCACGUUGCUCCCACCAUGCUGGGCAGUUGGGAACUGAGGCAGGACACUCGGGAGACCGUCUGGGUGAUUUCUAGUCCUUCACCUCUCAGCUGAGCAGGCACCAGUGCAUUCCAGAUCCUUCCAGGAAACCUCCGAGUUCCAGGCAGAUGUGGCCGCUGAGACCAGGUACUCAACACGGACACAGCCGCGUUCUAAGAGACGCAUGGCCUAUUCAGCACUUGCUCUGUACUGAGGAAGACUGAGGUAAAGGCGCUUGCUGCUGAGCCUGGCAACCUGGAUUCAAUCCAUGGGACCAACAGCAGGAAGGAACAGACUCCAGAAAGCUGUCCUCUGACCUCCAUAAGCAAGCUAUGUAUACAGGUGCACCCUAUAUAAAUAAACAUACCCUUAAAAAACAAA